Molecule: long non-coding RNA, 410 nt
Filed under: Cavia porcellus (domestic guinea pig)
Lineage: Eukaryota; Metazoa; Chordata; Mammalia; Rodentia; Caviidae
Description: lncRNA (ENSCPOG00000037874.1)
Source: RNAcentral
CUAAGUCAGAGGCCCCUGGAGAGCUUCAGAGAGCUGAGUCCUCAGAGGCAGCCGAGUGUGUCUAGGGGGCAGCCUCUGAGCUCAGGUGACAGCAGCUCACUGAAGCUCCCGCCAGGUGAAGCCUGUCUGAGUCCCCUCCAGUCACCGAAGGCGGCGAGCCUUCCCGCAGCGCAGCGGCUCCUCCUCGCCCCCGCCGCUCCCUGCUCAAGGGCGCUCGCGCAGGUCCCAGAGCAUCCCGCGCCUCCGUCCCGUCCUGCCACCGCGUCGCCGCAGCCCAGACCGAUACUCUCGGUGCCCCUCGCCUCCGCCCCCGGCGGGCUGCCCGGAAUCAUCUUUUAAAACAUCUAGUGAAGACCUGCAAAACGCCCCUGCUCUCACCAGCUCCAGGGCUCCAUGGAUGCUGCUCUCGC